UGAGUGCUGAUUUGAGCAGAACUGGAAGCCAAUUUGGAUCCUAUGUUCCAGCUCCCAGAUGUGGGUCCGGAAGUUUACUUUGAAAACAUCGAUUGUGUUAACACGUAGGGUGUGGUAGGUGAGAUCCGUCGGAACCGGAUAGCGGUGUAGCAGACCGUCGGACGGAGGAACUGAGGCACUGUUUUGUGCAGGCUGGAAGUUCUGGG
This 206-nucleotide long non-coding RNA is filed under the name Ananas comosus (pineapple). RNAcentral describes it as "long non-coding RNA (ACOM_LNC015469)". Lineage: Eukaryota; Viridiplantae; Streptophyta; Magnoliopsida; Poales; Bromeliaceae. The record is from RNAcentral.